RNAcentral lists this signal recognition particle RNA (290 nucleotides) under Chinchilla lanigera (long-tailed chinchilla). RNAcentral describes it as "Metazoan signal recognition particle RNA (ENSCLAG00000022025.1)". It matches the Rfam family "Metazoan signal recognition particle RNA". Rfam says of the family: The signal recognition particle (SRP) is a universally conserved ribonucleoprotein. The record is from RNAcentral. Lineage: Eukaryota; Metazoa; Chordata; Mammalia; Rodentia; Chinchillidae.
GCCAGGCGUGGUGGCACAAGCCUGGAGUCCCAGCUACUCGGGAGGCUGAGGUGGGAGGAUCGCUUGAGUCCAGGAGUUCCGGGCUGCAGUGCGCUAUGCACUAAGUUCGGCGUCAAUAUGGUGACCUCGUGGGAGUGCGGGUUCACCAGGUUGCCUAAGGAGGGGUGAACAAGCCCAGGUCAGAAAUGGAGCAGGCCACAUUUCCCUUGGUUGCCUAAACAUUUUUUAAGGACAGCUUGCUCAACAUGGGACACAAUCAAGGUCUGGCCGAUGUAGUGGGAACCUAACUG